Molecule: transfer RNA, 87 nt
Filed under: Marinosulfonomonas sp. PRT-SC04
Lineage: Bacteria; Pseudomonadati; Pseudomonadota; Alphaproteobacteria; Rhodobacterales; Paracoccaceae
Rfam family: tRNA
About the family: Transfer RNA (tRNA) molecules are approximately 80 nucleotides in length. Their secondary structure includes four short double-helical elements and three loops (D, anti-codon, and T loops).
Source: Rfam by way of RNAcentral
GGAGACGUGGCCGAGUGGUCGAAGGCGCUCGCCUGCUAAGUGAGUAAACGGGGAACCGUUUCGAGGGUUCGAAUCCCUUCGUCUCCG